This 91-nucleotide non-coding RNA is filed under the name human gut metagenome. Its description in RNAcentral is "TPP riboswitch (THI element)". It matches the Rfam family "TPP riboswitch aptamer (THI element)", at positions 7 to 92 of the family's 105-position model. From Rfam's summary of the family: Vitamin B(1) in its active form thiamin pyrophosphate (TPP) is an essential coenzyme that is synthesised by coupling of pyrimidine and thiazole moieties in bacteria. The previously detected thiamin-regulatory element, thi box was extended, resulting in a new, highly conserved RNA secondary structure, the THI element, which is widely distributed in eubacteria and also occurs in some archaea. The record is from RNAcentral.
UGCUAGGGGUGCCUUUUAUAGGCUGAGAAAUGAUUAAAUCAUUAACCCUUGAACCUGAUCUGGAUAGUACCAGCGUAGGGAAGCGUUAUUU